GCUUUCACAGUCUCCAUAAAACUACUCAUUGGAAUGUUUGGAUCAGACCUAAAUUUUCUCACGUACUUCUUUGCCAGAAAACCUGAAUUAACCCUUCUAUUUUGCCACACCAUGGUACAUGUGUGCUCAUCUACAAAUGUGUUAAUUCUAAGACUCUUGUCAGGUUGUUGGUACGCAUACAAAACCCAAGGACAAUUAUCUUGACACCGAACUCUCAAC
RNAcentral lists this long non-coding RNA (219 nucleotides) under Olea europaea (common olive). Its description in RNAcentral is "long non-coding RNA (OEUR_LNC004366)". The record is from RNAcentral. Lineage: Eukaryota; Viridiplantae; Streptophyta; Magnoliopsida; Lamiales; Oleaceae.